GUCUACAGCCAUGCCACCCUGAACAAGCCCGAUCCCAUCUGAUCUCAGAAGCUAAGCAGGAUUGGGCCUGGUUAGUACUUGGACGAGAGACCACCUAGGAAGACAAGGUGCUAUAGGCA
Molecule: ribosomal RNA, 119 nt
Filed under: Pteropus alecto (black flying fox)
Lineage: Eukaryota; Metazoa; Chordata; Mammalia; Chiroptera; Pteropodidae
Source: RNAcentral